GAUGAACGCUGGCGGCGUGCCUAAUACAUGCAAGUCGAGCGAACGGACGAGAAGCUUGCUUUUCUGAUGUUAGCGGCGGACGGGUGAGUAACACGUGGAUAACCUACCUAUAAGACUGGGAUAACUUCGGGAAACCGGAGCUAAUACCGGAUAAUAUUUUGAACCGCAUGGUUCAAAAGUGAAAGACGGUCUUGCUGUCACUUAUAGAUGGAUCCGCGCUGCAUUAGCUAGUUGGUAAGGUAACGGCUUACCAAGGCAACGAUGCAUAGCCGACCUGAGAGGGUGAUCGGCCACACUGGAACUGAGACACGGUCCAGACUCCUACGGGAGGCAGCAGUAGGGAAUCUUCCGCAAUGGGCGAAAGCCUGACGGAGCAACGCCGCGUGAGUGAUGAAGGUCUUCGGAUCGUAAAACUCUGUUAUUAGGGAAGAACAUAUGUGUAAGUAACUGUGCACAUCUUGACGGUACCUAAUCAGAAAGCCACGGCUAACUACGUGCCAGCAGCCGCGGUAAUACGUAGGUGGCAAGCGUUAUCCGGAAUUAUUGGGCGUAAAGCGCGCGUAGGCGGUUCUUUAAGUCUGAUGUGAAAGCCCACGGCUCAACCGUGGAGGGUCAUUGGAAACUGGAAAACUUGAGUGCAGAAGAGGAAAGUGGAAUUCCAUGUGUAGCGGUGAAAUGCGCAGAGAUGUGGAGGAACACCAGUGGCGAAGGCGACUUUCUGGUCUGUAACUGACGCUGAUGUGCGAAAGCGUGGGGAUCAAACAGGAUUAGAUACCCUGGUAGUCCACGCCGUAAACGAUGAGUGCUAAGUGUUAGGGGGUUUCCGCCCCUUAGUGCUGCAGCUAACGCAUUAAGCACUCCGCCUGGGGAGUACGACCGCAAGGUUGAAACUCAAAGGAAUUGACGGGGGCCCGCACAAGCGGUGGAGCAUGUGGUUUAAUUCGAAGCAACGCGAAGAACCUUACCAAAUCUUGACAUCCUUUGACAACUCUAGAGAUAGAGCCUUCCCCUUCGGGGGACAAAGUGACAGGUGGUGCAUGGUUGUCGUCAGCUCGUGUCGUGAGAUGUUGGGUUAAGUCCCGCAACGAGCGCAACCCUUAAGCUUAGUUGCCAUCAUUAAGUUGGGCACUCUAAGUUGACUGCCGGUGACAAACCGGAGGAAGGUGGGGAUGACGUCAAAUCAUCAUGCCCCUUAUGAUUUGGGCUACACACGUGCUACAAUGGACAAUACAAAGGGCAGCGAAACCGCGAGGUCAAGCAAAUCCCAUAAAGUUGUUCUCAGUUCGGAUUGUAGUCUGCAACUCGACUACAUGAAGCUGGAAUCGCUAGUAAUCGUAGAUCAGCAUGCUACGGUGAAUACGUUCCCGGGUCU
RNAcentral lists this ribosomal RNA (1372 nucleotides) under uncultured bacterium. RNAcentral's name for it is "bacterial SSU rRNA". It matches the Rfam family "Bacterial small subunit ribosomal RNA", at positions 28 to 1381 of the family's 1533-position model. The record is from RNAcentral.